This 486-nucleotide ribosomal RNA is filed under the name uncultured bacterium. Its description in RNAcentral is "partial 16S ribosomal RNA". It matches the Rfam family "Bacterial small subunit ribosomal RNA", at positions 28 to 523 of the family's 1533-position model. The record is from RNAcentral.
GACGAACGCUGGCGGCGUGCUUAACACAUGCAAGUCGAAUGCUGAAGCACCAGCUUGCUGGUGUGGAUGAGUGGCGAACGGGUGAGUAAUACGUGAGUAACCUGCCCUUGACUCUGGGAUAAGCCCGGGAAACUGGGUCUAAUACUGGAUGCUACAUGUCACCGCAUGGUGGUGUGUGGAAAGGGUUUACUGGUCUUGGAUGGGCUCACGGCCUAUCAGCUUGUUGGUGAGGUAAUGGCUCACCAAGGCGACGACGGGUAGCCGGCCUGAGAGGGUGAACGGCCACACUGGGACUGAGACACGGGCCAGACUCCUACGGGAGGCAGCAGUGGGGAAUAUUGCAUAAUGGGCGAAAGCCUGAUGCAGCGACGCCGCGUGAGGGAUGACGGCCUUCGGGUUGUAAACCUCUUUCAGCAGGGAAGAAGCCACAAGUGACGGUACCUGCAGAAGAAGCGCCGGCUAACUACGUGCCAGCCGCCGCGGUAA